AUUCCCCUGAGAAAGCCCUUGGUGGUGGUGGUAAGAAAAUAAUAAUAAUAAUAAUAAUAAUAGGUAAGAAAAUAAUAUAUGGUUUUUUUCUUAAGGGGUGAUACGAAUAUUGAAGAGGAUGGCACCCCAACCCUAAUACCAUAGGGUUGAUUUGUCAUAGAAAAUUUCAAAUUGAAAAUUAGAUCAUUAAAAACCUACAUGUAAACUUCAAGGGGUUGGAUGGACUCCAACGACUUUAGGUCGGAAUAUUGGAAAAGCUUACUAUGAGAUAGAUUGCUUGUAAAAUGUGGACAUUUUCACUCAUGAGAGAUUCAAAUUCCAUGUAUGCGCUAGUAUAACGGGCAUCCACCUUCUUUUUGCGUCAAACUAGGACGUUCGCAUUCAUCAUAUUCCUUGGGAAGUUAAUGACUAUGCAGAUUAUCUAAUGGCUUUGGGGGCUAGCCAACAAUGUGAUUUUACUAAUAUUGAUGUUCCCCUGAACAAUGUUGCUCAAUUGUUAGCCAGAGAUGCUUUAGCGUUGUAGUUUCUUCGUCUUUAUUUUCCCAAUCACCAAAAAAGACCUCAAGGGGUUGAUAUAGUGGAGUAUGACAGAGUGUUGUACUUGACGUGUCAUAGGUUUCAACCCCUACUAGUCUGUUGGGGUUAAGAGGUAAAUGUACGUAUUUUGUAAUUGUUUUUUGAGCUCAACAGUUUUUUCUACCUUAAACUAAAGCACCAUCAUCGCUCAUCCUAAAUUUAAAUUUACUGUAACAAAAAAAAACCCUAAUAUGUCAGCAUAACACAUCAUCACUAAAAUGGGUGGAAAGACCCAAACCUCACACAAGUUAUUAAGUUAAGGGUUGAUUUUGUUGAAAAUUUUAUUUAUAUUUAGUGACCAAAUCUAGUUCAAUGAGAAAAAAAACACAUUUAACCCAUUAAACUGAGAAGGGGAAGGAAGAGUGGAAGAGUAUGCAUGAAUGAAUGGCAUGUUCCCAUUUGCUGAAAUUACACUUCCAACAUCGCGACAGCUUCUAUGUCACUGCUCCGACCGCUAAUGUUACGACGAGUGUCACCCUUUCUUAUCAUUCCCUCUCUCACUCCCACUCCUUCUCUUCCAUUCUGUUCCAACUGCAACCUUCAUUCUUCUACUUCUCCUCAAGUUGCAGUCCAAGACCAACAACAACAACAACAACGAGAGCCUCAUCUGCAUAGCACACAACUCGUUGCAGCGGAAUAUGCUGACCUCAAUCUCUCUUACGACCUGGAUCUGGGUCAUGUCAGGAUCAGGCAACAUGUCAAUCCUCUUAGCUCUUCUUUCUCUGUUCCUGCACAAGUACCAGACUGGAACCAGGUCUUUGCUGACCCAUCUUUGCCACUGAUGGUGGAUAUUGGAUGCGGCAGUGGCAGGUUUCUCAUGUGGCUUGCUAAAAGAACUCCUAAAGAGAGAAAUUAUUUGGGAUUGGAAAUACGGCAAAGGCUAGUCAAACGUGCUGAAAUAUGGGUAAAAGAUCUGGCUCUUGAUAACAUACAUUUCUUGUUCGCAAAUGCUACAAUUUCAUUCAAGCAGUUGGUAGAAUCAUAUCCUGGGCCGCUGCUGUUAGUUUCUAUUUUGUGUCCAGACCCACAUUUCAAGAAAAAACAUCAUAAAAGAAGAGUUCUGCAGAAAUCUUUGGUUGGUUCUAUUGUAGAUAAUUUAAUGCCUGGGGGACAGGUGUUCGUACAGUCUGAUGUGCUUGAAGUGGCCCUUGACAUGAGAAAUCAAUUUGAUGAAGUUGAUGCACUGAAGCACAUUGAUGAUUCGAACCCGGCUAUGUUGUGUGACUCCGAAGGAUGGUUGUUAAGCAACCCCAUGGAGAUAAGGACUGAGAGAGAGAUACAUGCAGAGUUUGAAGGUGCAAAAAUCUACCGAAGGUUGUACCAGAGAUGGGUGUGAUUUGUCAAGCUUGAAUAGUUUUCCCAUAAUUAAUCUUCAACUGUGAAGCACCAGAGGAACCUUGUUCAUCUGAGACAAACAUGGAAGGGAACACUCAUGCUAGACACAAAACACCCCCACAUGACACCUCAAAUAGGCUACUUGGGAUUUUGUUGUGUCUGCAGUGUGCUAGUGUCCUGCUUUUUAUGUGUUUAAUCACAAUAGGAAGAUGAGGAAUGAGGAUGGUAACACCUACAAGCUUAAAGUCUCAGUUCAAAACAUCAUAGCCACCCUUGGGCCUCAGUACUUAGAGUUGGGGGAAACUGUUCCGGACUGAGUAUCUUGCUCAAAUCUUCUGCACUUCGUUGCUGGGCCGAACCACCCUAUAAUGAAUCAAGAUCCAAUAUGGUUUAGAGAGAUCAUUGUUAUCCUUUGAUAAUUCGGAAUGUCCUAUUAAUCACUACAUAUUUACAUAAGCAUGAUAACUAAGAUGAAAUCCCCCACCCCCCCUUUUAAAUGUCACAUACAAUUCAAUUUUAUAUACAAGUGUAACACCACCUCAAACCUUAAAUGGGUUACCAU
RNA transcript from Lotus japonicus, 2473 nucleotides. RefSeq lists it as uncharacterized. Lineage: Eukaryota; Viridiplantae; Streptophyta; Magnoliopsida; Fabales; Fabaceae. The record is from RefSeq and is a predicted model, not a curated record. The transcript is spliced from 9 exons.